Molecule: ribosomal RNA, 374 nt
Filed under: uncultured Exiguobacterium sp.
Lineage: Bacteria; Bacillati; Bacillota; Bacilli; Caryophanales
Description: bacterial SSU rRNA
Rfam family: Bacterial small subunit ribosomal RNA
Source: RNAcentral
UAGUGAGUUUGAUCCUGGCUCAGAACGAACGCUGGCGGCAGGCCUAAUACAUGCAAGUCGAGCGCAGGAAGCUCACGGAACUCUUCGGAGGGAAGUGAAGGGAAUGAGCGGCGGACGGGUGAGUAACACGUAAGGAACCUGCCCCAAGGAUUGGGAUAACUCCGAGAAAUCGGAGCUAAUACCGAAUAGUUCUUCAGACCGCAUGGUCUGAUGAUGAAAGGCGCUUCGGCGUCACCUUGGGAUGGCCUUGCGGUGCAUUAGCUAGUUGGUGGGGUAAUGGCCCACCAAGGCGACGAUGCAUAGCCGACCUGAGAGGGUGAUCGGCCACACUGGGACUGAGACACGGCCCAGACUCCUACGGGGAGGCAGCGAGU